UAAUUAAAACUUAAAAGAAUAUUAAAUUAUUUGUAUUUAGCUUAUUUCUUAUUAGUAUAUUUAAUAUACAUAGUUUGUUUUAGAUUUGUCCGGGGCUAACUAAGGAACGUGGAGUGCUAAUCUAUCAGAAAACGUUUGCAAAAUACUCUACUCCAGGGGAUCCUGCAAGAACCAGCUUAACUAUUUUUAACGAAGAUUUAAUUCUUCUUGAAGAAGCACUCAGUUGUUUGAGCUUGGUAGAAAAGGGAACAUAUGAACAUUCAAUAAUGUUAAAACUAGAAAAUGUCGUUAAAAAUAAAAUUCUUUAUUGAA
Eurytemora carolleeae is the source of this 312-nucleotide long non-coding RNA. RefSeq lists it as uncharacterized. The transcript has 4 exons. NCBI's taxonomy places the organism in Eukaryota, Metazoa, Arthropoda, Copepoda, Calanoida, Temoridae. The record is from RefSeq and is a predicted model, not a curated record.